RNAcentral lists this ribosomal RNA (460 nucleotides) under uncultured bacterium. Its description in RNAcentral is "partial 16S ribosomal RNA". It matches the Rfam family "Bacterial small subunit ribosomal RNA", at positions 338 to 795 of the family's 1533-position model. The record is from RNAcentral.
CCUACGGGAGGCAGCAGUGAGGAAUAUUGGUCAAUGGACGAGAGUCUGAACCAGCCAAGUAGCGUGAAGGAUGACUGCCCUAUGGGUUGUAAACCUCUUUUAUAAAGGAAUAAAACGAGGCACGUGUGCCUUUUUGCAUGUACUUUAUGAAUAAGGAUCGGCUAACUCCGUGCCAGCAGCCGCGGUAAUACGGAGGAUCCGAGCGUUAUCCGGAUUUGUUGGGUUUAAAGGGAGCGUAGAUGGGUUGUUAAGUCAGUUGUGAAAGUUUGCGGCUCAACCGUAAAAUUGCAAUUGAUACUGGCAGUCUUGAGUACAGUUGAGGUAGGCGGAAUUCGUGGUGUAGCGGUGAAAUGCUUAGAUAGCACGAAGAACCCCGAUUGCGAAGGCAGCUUACUAAACUGUGACUGACAUUGAUGCUCGAAAGUGUGGGUAUCAAACAGGAUUAGAUACCCUGGUAGUC